Molecule: ribosomal RNA, 254 nt
Filed under: uncultured bacterium
Lineage: Bacteria
Description: partial 16S ribosomal RNA
Rfam family: Bacterial small subunit ribosomal RNA
Source: RNAcentral
UACAGAGGUCUCAAGCGUUGUUCGGAUUUACUGGGCGUAAAGGGCGUGUAGGCGGCCACCGCAAGUCGGUUGUGAAAUCUCCGGGCUUAACCCGGAAAGGUCAACCGAUACUGCGGGGCUAGAGUGCAGAAGGGGCAACUGGAAUUCUCGGUGUAGCGGUGAAAUGCGUAGAUAUCGAGAGGAACACCUGCGGCGAAGGCGGGUUGCUGGGCUGACACUGACGCUGAAACGCGAAAGCUAGGGGAGCGAACGGG